GACGAACGCUGCGGCGUGCCUAAUACAUGCAAGUAGAACGCACAGUUUAUACCGUAGCUUGCUACACCAUAGACUGUGAGUUGCGAACGGGUGAGUAACGCGUAGGUAACCUGCCUGGUAGCGGGGGAUAACUAUUGGAAACGAUAGCUAAUACCGCAUAAUAUUACUUAUUGCAUGAUAAUUAAUUGAAAUGUGCAAUUGCACCACUACCAGCUGGACCUGCGUUGUAUUAGCUAGUAGGUGAGGUAACGGCCCACCUAGGCGACGAUACAUAGCCGACCUGAGAGGGUGAUCGGCCACGCUGGGACGGAGACACGGCCCAGACCCCUGAGGGAGGCAGCAGGAGGGAAUCUUCGGCAAGGGACGGAAGUCUGACCGAGCAACGCCGCGUGAGUGAAGAAGGGUUUCGGAUCGUAAAGCUAUGUUGUAAGAGAAGAACGGGUGUGAGAGUGGAAAGUUCACACUGUGACGGUAUCUUACCAGAAAGGGACGGCUAACUACGUG
RNAcentral lists this ribosomal RNA (504 nucleotides) under uncultured bacterium. Its description in RNAcentral is "partial 16S ribosomal RNA". It matches the Rfam family "Bacterial small subunit ribosomal RNA", at positions 28 to 507 of the family's 1533-position model. The record is from RNAcentral.